This is a non-coding RNA of Phrynosoma platyrhinos (Desert horned lizard), 71 nucleotides long. NCBI's taxonomy places the organism in Eukaryota, Metazoa, Chordata, Lepidosauria, Squamata, Phrynosomatidae. The record is from the annotation of a GenBank genome assembly.
ACCAGCAUGGCACAGUGGUUUGAGUGUUGGACUAUGACUCUGGAGUGUAGGGUUCAAUUCCCCGCCUGGCC